UUGUUUCUUUGUAUAACCGAACAAGAUUCCACCAUGAAUGAGAUGACAGCGAGGGAGACGGCACCGGAAAUGGUUACAACCACGACAAAGGAAACAGAAUUGAUAGAGAAGUCGAGGGAAGUGUAUGAUGAAGAAGAAAAGGGGGAGAAAAUACUCCCUCGACAGAAGCAUGUAGCAGUUCUCGAAGCCAAAUCUCUUCCCGGCAUCAUCAGUGCUUACCUCAAUUAUCCCGACGCUGCAGAAAAAGAUGUAAAAAAAUGGGAAAGAUCAUAUCAGAAGCUGUCUCCUGCACAUAAGGCAUUGUUACCUCAUUACCCUAUGAAGUUCCAGAAUUUACGAAGGUGUAUAUCGACGAAUUCACAUUUCAUAUUGAAUAUGCUUCAGGCUUUUGACCCUUCUCUAGACUUGAGUAAACACAUGGGCAAGGGAAAAACAGGAGUACUGUCUAUCGAGGAGCUUCAAAGGACAGAAGUUUAUGAUCACUCUCUCAAGAAUCACUCUGUAGACACAAGAAUCAAUAAUAAGACAUGUGAAUUUGAUGGAAGCCAGUUAAAUCAUGAUCAUGUAUCAUUUUCAUCUCAUGAUUUGUUGGAUUCGUCGUUACAGACACAUGUUCCUCUGGUUGAUGUAGAUAAGGUUCGUUGGGUACUAAGGAAUAUAGUUCGAGACUGGGGAGCAGAGGGUCAGACCACACGAGAUGAAUGCUACAAGCCUAUCCUUGAAGAGCUUGAUUCCUUGUUUCCUGAUCGUCAGAAGGACAGCACUCCUCCUGCCUGUUUAGUCCCUGGUGCUGGACUUGGACGUCUCGCCCUUGAAAUUUCUUGUCUAGGCAUGCAAGGAAGAAUCAAAAGUUUCAGAAGCGUAGGAAAUGAGUUUUCAUAUUACAUGAUGAUAUGCUCAAGUUUUAUUCUUAAUUAUACACAAGUGCCUGAUGAGUGGACAGUAUACCCCUGGAUAUACACCAACUGCAAUUCUCUCUCGGAAAAUGAUCAACUACGUCCCAUCUCUUUUCCUAAUAUUCAUCCUGCUAGGCAUGUGCUACCGAAUCGCAGAGAAACUGGUCUAUUUAUUAAUGCAGGAGUAACAGAAGGUUUCUCUAUGUGUUGUGGCGAUUUUCUUGAAGUGUUCAAUGAAUCAAGUCAAGCAGGGAUGUGGGAUGCAGUUGUGACUUGUUUUUUCAUCGAUACGACUCGUAAUAUGAUCGAGUACAUCGAAACGAUAUCCAAAGUCGUAAAGGAUGGAGGAGUUUGGAUAAAUUUAGGACCUCUGUGUUAUCACUUUGCGGACAUACCUGGCCUGGAAAAUUGAAUUAAUACUUAGGAAAUGUCGAUCGAGCUAAGUUUGGAGGAUGUAAAGAGAGUUGCUUCGCAUUAUGGGUUUGAGAUUGAGAAAGAAAGAACGAUUGACACAACGUACUGUGCAAAUCCCCGGUCUAUGCAAAAGAACCGCUACUAUUCUGUCUUCUGGAGAAUGAGGAAGAAGAAGUGUGCUAUUUAACAACUUAAACCAAACAUCCCUAUAAACCCAACAUAUUCCUUCCGUUCUGGAGUUGUUUUUGUGUUGCACUUUGAUAUAUUUAUUAUGAAUUUACAAUCCGAUCUCAAAACACGUAAUAUUUCCUGUGUUGUAAACUAAAUAAACUGUGUUCUCGUUUAUUGAACAAUAAAAAAACUUUGUA
Molecule: non-coding RNA, 1678 nt
Organism: Camelina sativa (false flax)
Lineage: Eukaryota; Viridiplantae; Streptophyta; Magnoliopsida; Brassicales; Brassicaceae
Source: RefSeq, a predicted model, not a curated record